This is a long non-coding RNA of Neopsephotus bourkii (Bourke's parrot), 602 nucleotides long. RefSeq lists it as uncharacterized. Lineage: Eukaryota; Metazoa; Chordata; Aves; Psittaciformes; Psittacidae. The record is from RefSeq and is a predicted model, not a curated record. The transcript has 2 exons.
GAUUUUCUGGAGCAGGAACUGCGGGUGGGGAAGUGUGUCAGGGGCAGGAGGCAAGCUCUGUGCACAAGGAGAAGGGCAAUGGCUGGCAGUUUGCAGCACAUGCCGCUCAGUGAGUAACAAAUACGUUCUCAGGUGGCUCACAAGCAGACCAGACAAGCCCUGGUGCUAGUGUAAGGGAAGGACACAUUUAUGAGGACAGAGGGAGAGCGUGACUGCAACAGCUACACCUGACAUCAGCUUAAGAGAUGGGCACCCAGCUCCAUCCGUGAGCAUCACCUGGAGUUCAUCAGCAGAACGUCACUCAGGCUGGCACAGGGAGGGCUGCCUGUGAAUCCCUUUGCUUCUCCAUGUGAAAUGGAAUCACUCAUCCGGAGGACAAAAGUAAUGCUGCUGCUCUGGGAAGAGAGAUUUAGACAUAGGCUAAGUGCACUAAAUGAAGGGAUAAAUGUGACAAGGCUUGCAAUACUGCCAGCCAAAAUCAUUAUAUCACCAAAUUCUUACCACCAAAGUUGUUUUAAACUAUCAGCAUCUGGUCAGUAAAUAAUGGCAUGUGAAGGUCUUAUUAAAAUAAAAGUUUGUGUUUGUGUGGUUAUGGAGAAAAU